AACCUAGUGAUGCUAAACGCCCAAAGCUGUUGUCCAAGACCUUCGGGUUGAGGGUUUCAGUGGAGCGCGUGACCCGAUCUAGUAGUAGUCAAGCGAUGGAGAGACGCAGGAAGGUAGCCUCCGCGUGGCGAUGGUAGUCCACGUCCAAGGGUGUAGGGCGAGCUGUAGGCAAAUCCGCAGCUCACAUAGCCUGAGACCUGAUAGUGACCGCGUAUGCGGGAAGCAGGGUGAUCCUAUGCUGCCAAGAAAAUCUUCUAGCGAGGUUCGAGCCGCCCGUACCCCAAACCGACUCAGGUGGUUAGGUAGAGAAUACCAAGGCGAUCGAGUGAAUCGUGGUUAAGGAAUUCGGCAAAAUACCCCCGUAACUUCGGGAGAAGGGGGGCCCAGAGGGUGAAGGCACUUGCUGCCUAGCCUGAACGGCCGCAGAGACCAGGGAGAAGCGACUGUUUACUAAAAACACAGGUCCGUGCGAAGUCGCAAGACGAUGUAUACGGACUGACGCCUGCCCGGUGCUGGAAGGUUAAGAGGACCGGUUAGUUCUUCGGAGCGAAGCUGAGAAUUUAAGCCCCAGUAAACGGCGGUGGUAACUAUAACCAUCCUAAGGUAGCGAAAUUCCUUGUCGGGUAAGUUCCGACCUGCACGAAUGGCGUAACGACUUCUCCACUGUCUCAACCACGAACUCGGCGAAAUUGCACUACGAGUAAAGAUGCUCGUUACGCGCAGCAGGACGGAAAGACCCCGGGACCUUUACUACAGCUUGGUAUUGGUGUUCGGUACGGCUUGUGUAGGAUAGGUGGGAGACUGUGAAGCAUGCACGCCAGUGUGUGUGGAGUCAACGUUGAAAUACCACUCUGGUCGUUCUGGAUAUCUAACCUCGGUCCGUGAUCCGGAUCAGGGACAGUGCCUGGUGGGUAGUUUAACUGGGGCGGUUGCCUCCUAAAAGGUAACGGAGGCGCCCAAAGGUUCCCUCAGCCUGGUUGGCAAUCAGGUUUUGAGUGUAAGUGCACAAGGGAGCUUGACUGUGAGACAGGCAUGUCGA
This 1039-nucleotide ribosomal RNA is filed under the name Salmonella enterica. RNAcentral's name for it is "partial 23S ribosomal RNA". It matches the Rfam family "Bacterial large subunit ribosomal RNA", at positions 1408 to 2392 of the family's 2925-position model. The record is from RNAcentral. Lineage: Bacteria; Pseudomonadati; Pseudomonadota; Gammaproteobacteria; Enterobacterales; Enterobacteriaceae.